AUGCUGGUGUGCUGCCGCAGAAUAUUCCUCCAACAGCAAACUUUGUUCACUGAAAAAACCUCAGAGGCUGUGCACGUGCGGGCGAGAAGAUGGCGGCGGCGGGGGAAGCAGCGGGAGCAGCCGGAGGAGCGCCGAGUCCCAUUGAAACGCGCAGCCACGGCCCUCCACAGCCCGCAGUAUAUUUUUGGAGAUUUUAGCCCUGAUGAAUUCAAUCAGUUCUUUGUGACUCCUCGAUCUUCAGUUGAGCUUCCUCCGUACCGUGGAACAGUUCUGUGUGGCAUACAGGCUGUGGAUAAACUACCUAAUGGACAGGAAUAUCAGAGAAUUGAGUUUGGUGUCAAUGAAGUCAUUGAAUCCAGUGACACGUUGCCGAAAACCCCAGCUACAGUAUUUCAAGCACACUGAACCCUCAGGCCCCUGAAUUUAUUCUCGAUUGUACAACUUCCAAAACAACCCCUGAUGGUAUAACUAAAGAAGCAAAUUAUAGAGCUCCACCGACUGCCAGUACCCAGGCUCUGCCCUCGCUUUGGAUGGAAGUUCUAAUGUGGAGGCGGAAGUUUUGAAAAAUGAUGGUGUCUCAGGUGGUCUUGGACAAAGGGAGCGUAAAAAGAAGAAAAAGUGGCCACCUGGAUAUUACAGUUAUUUGAAAGAUGGUGGUGAUGAUAGUAUUUCCACAAAAGCCCUGGUCAAUGGCCACGCCAGUUCGGCAGUCCCCAACAGUGUCAGUGCAGAGGAUGCAGAAUUUAUGGGUGACAUGCCCCCGUCAGUUACUCCCAGGACUUGUAACAGCCCCCAGAACUCCACGGAUUCUGUCAGUGACACUGUGCCUGACAGUCCUUUCCCCGGAGCACUCGACAGUGACACCAGGACUGCGGGUAGCCGGAGGGGGUCCCCAGGGCUAAUUUUGGCGAGUCCUGCUUCUCUGCAGAGGCUGACAGAGACACCCCGUCAAGGACAGCUAGGGCUCAGCCCUGCGUUGGUACCGAUACUACUGAAAGCCUUAGAGUUGCUAAUGGGCAAAUACUUGAAUCCUCGGGUGAGGGCACAGCUACCAACGGAGUGGAGUUGCACACCACGGAAAGCAUAGACUUGGACCCAACCAAACCCGAGAGUGCAUCACCUCUGGCUGACGGCACGGGCUCUGCAUCAGGCACCCUUCCUGUCACCCAGCCCAAGUCCUGGGCCAGUCUCUUUCAUGAUUCUAAGCCCUCUUCCUCCUCGCUGGUGGCCUAUGUGGAAACUAAGUAUUCCCCUCCCACCGUAUCUCCCCUGGUUUCUGUAAAGCAGGUUGAAGUCAAAGAAGGGCUUGUUCCAGUUUCAGAGGAUCCUGUAGCCAUAAAGAUUGCAGAGUGACUGGAGAAUGCAACCCUAAUCCAUAAACCAGUGUCGUUGCAAACCCACGGGCUGAUCAGUAAAGGGAAGUGGUGCUACAUUAAUGCUACACUGCAGGCACUGGCUGCCUGCCCGCCGAUGUACCACCUGAUGAAGUUCAUUCCUCUGUAUUCCAAAGUGCAAAGGCCUCGUACGUCAACACCCAUGAUAGACAGCUUUGUUCGGCUAAUGAAUGAGUUUACUAAUAUGCCAUACCUCCAAAACCCCGACAAGCUCUUGGAGAUAAAAUCGUGAGGGGCAUUCACCCUGGAGCUGCCUUUGAGCCCACAUAUAUUUACAGACUCCUGACAUUUAACAAGUCAAGCCUGUCUGAAAAGGGUCAACAAGACGAUGCUGAAGAAUUCUUAGGCUUUAUCCUAAAUGGACUUCAUGAGGAAAUGUUGAACCUAAAGAAGUUUCUCCCACCAAAUAAUGAAAAACUUACGAUUUCCAAUGGCCCCCAAAACCACUCUAUUAAUGAAGAAAAGCAGGAAGAACAAGGUGAAGAAAGCGAGGAUGAAUGGGAGCAAGCGGACCCCCGGAACAAGACUUCCGUCACCCGCCAGGAGGAGUUUGUUCAGACUCCAAUCACCGGCAUUUUUGGUCUGUGGUUUACCAGCAGAGUUCAAAAGAAUCUGCCACUUUGCAGCCAUUUUUCACAUUGCAGUAGGAUAUCCAGUCUAACAAGAUACGUACACCCCAGGAUGCACUGGAGAGCUUGGUGGCAAGAGAAUCUGUCCAAGGUUAUACCACAAAAACCAAACAAGAGGUUGAGAUAGUCGAAGAUUGACUCUGGAAAAACUCCCUCCUCUCCUUGUGCUACACCUGAAACGAUUCGUUUAUGAGAAGACUGGUGGGUGCAGAAGCUUAUCAAAAAUAUUGAAUAUCCUGUGGACUUGGAAAUUAGUAAAGAACUGCUUUCUUCAGGGGUUAAAAAUAAGAAUUUUAAAUGCCACAGAACCUAUUGUCUCGCUGCAGUGGUCUACCAUCACGGCAACAGUGUGACGGGCGGCCAGUACACUACAGACGUCUUCCAGAUCGGUCUGAAUGGCUGGCUGCGCAUUGAUGACCAGACAGUCAAGGUGAUCAACCAGUACCAGGUGGUGAAACCAACUGCUGAACGCACAGCCGACCUCCUGUAUUACCGCCGAGUGGACCUGGUGUAAACCCUCUGUGCCCUGUGUGUGCGCCCAGUGCCUGCUUCGUAGGACACCACCUCACACUCACUUCCCGCCUCUCUUUAGUGGCUCUUUAGAGAGAAACUCUUUCUCCCUUUGCAAGAAUGGGCUAGAACGAAAAGGAGAUGCCUUGGGGUUCGUGCACAACAUAGUUUCUGUUGACUCUAACUUCCAAAUCAAAAUCAUUUGGUUGAAACAGACUGUCGCUUGAUUUUAGAAAAUCCACAAAAACCCAUAUUUCUGAAAUAAUGCUGAUUCCUGAGAUAAGAAAGCGGAUUUGAUCCCCAGUCUCUUUGCUUAGUAGAAUAAAUCCUGCACCAGCAACAACACUUGUAAAUUUGUGAAAAUGAAUUUUCUCUUUCCUUAAAAAAGACAUUUUUUAAUCCAUCACACUUUUCUUCCCUACCCUUUAGUUUUUGUUAAAUGAUAAAAAUAAGCCAGUUAUCAAAGAAGAACUAGUUCUUACUUCAGAAGAAAAAUAAGCAUAAAAAAUAAGUUGCUGGUUCCUAACAGGAGAAAUUUUAAUAAUUGUGUGGAGAGAAACUGCUUACAUACACAUUACAGAUAAAAUAUUUGGAGUUAAAAUGUUAGUCUACAUAGAUGGGUGAUUGUAACUUUAUUGUCAUUAAAAGAUUUCAAAUCGCAUUCAUGCUUCUGUGUACACAUAACGAAAAAUGGGCAAAUAAUGAAGAUCUCUCUUUCAAUCUGCUCUGUUUAAUUCUACUGUCAGCUCUUCUCUAAUGCUGCAUCCCUAAUUGCACACAGUUUAGUGAUAUCUAGGAGUAUAAAGUUGUCGCCCAUCAAUAAAAAUCACAAAGUUGGUUAAAAAAAAAUAAA
This is a non-coding RNA of Chlorocebus sabaeus (green monkey), 3386 nucleotides long. The record is from RefSeq and is a predicted model, not a curated record. Lineage: Eukaryota; Metazoa; Chordata; Mammalia; Primates; Cercopithecidae.